Long non-coding RNA from Bacillus rossius redtenbacheri, 7072 nucleotides. RefSeq lists it as uncharacterized. The transcript has 4 exons. NCBI's taxonomy places the organism in Eukaryota, Metazoa, Arthropoda, Insecta, Phasmatodea, Bacillidae. The record is from RefSeq and is a predicted model, not a curated record.
GUUUUAAAUUGCGGUCGUUAAAAAAACGCUCUUUUGCAUGUGCCUGUCUAAUGCGUAUAUUAAAAAUAUUAAAUAGGAUGGAUAACUAUUAAAUAAUGUGUAGAACGUAAAUGUAAAGGAAUCGGGAAACCUCGGUCGUCAGGGGUGGAGCGGGACCGCACCUGGCUGAAGCAGCGUCGUCGAUGGCGGCGGCGCGCGGGUGCACGCUCGCAAGCGUCAGGCGCACGCCGCCCAGGCCCGAGACGCGCAGCUCCUCGGCCAGGGACUCGACCAGCCCCUGCGCGGCGAACUGGGCCGUGCGAAGCGCCACCCGCUCCCCGGCGCCGGCCAGCCCCGCUGCCGAGGACAGCACCGCCACGUGGCCCCGGUUCGCCGCCCGCAUGCGGGGCAGGAAGGCCUCCAGCACCUGCCGCCAGCGUUUCCCCAGGCAGCACUGUUCUGCUGACCGACCGAAAAGUAACUACGCAACAGCCUGGUACAGCAACAGCCAACCCAAGGUACACAGGCCAUUUUUAAACCACCAAGAGGCUUGGACAGCGGACCGUCACAAUAACAGGUGGUGAUUGACAACUCACACAUGAGCUCCACUCGGCAAUGCCACAAACCUUGAGCUCUGUUCUGUGCAAAUGACUAAAGCAAUCAACAUGUGAGUGUAUACACUUUGUCAACCACAUUUGUGUGUGUGUUGUGAUAACAGUAAAGCAGAUUUCAUCAUGGAAGAACGGUACUGCUUCCACUUGAGUGUUCUAAUUGUACAACUACUUACUAUGAUCAUAGAUUUUAUUUUUUAUGAAUUCCAAUAUACUAAAUUCCUAAUGCAUAUACCACUAUCAUUUAAAUUGUAGCAAUGCUAGCAGGGCCAAAUUCUAUUAAAUAUCCUAUUCUUUCUUUUUUUUUUUUGUAAAAUUGCUUAUUUUUUUAGGAAUCCAAUAAAUAAAAAUUUUAUAAAAAAACCCAACAAGGGCUAGGUACUACAAAUUUCUGUCAAAAAAAGACAGAAUCCUUGAAAUUAAAUCCUGGCUACACCACUUAUUUCAAGUGUAUCUGUAAUUAAAUGAAAAAUGUAUGAUUUAUUUUAGUACUAGACAUUCAAUUUUUACAGUAAUGUUUAAACACAUUAAGGGAACCCUUUAUUAUUUAAUACUGAGACUCAAUUUUGUUUAUCAACAAGCUUGUUUAGGCAAUUCAAACAGCUUUUAAAUGCAUGAACAAUCCACUACAAUAAGCUUACCUAUGCCUUAUUAUGUUAAAUAUGUAUUAAUGAUAAUUAAGAUGCUCAAGUCAGCCCAAAUACUGCAUUUAUGCUCCAGCAGGUGAUGCCCUAAUGAAUAAUGAGCUCAAAAGAAAGCUUAAAAUGGUUUCUUCUUGCCCUCCAUGAGCUGAGGGAGAAAAGUUUUAACACUAUCCAUGCCUGCAAUCUAUUUAACUGUUUGUCUGAAAAUACAAUUUUAAUAGACAAGUGAACCUAAUAUAUUUCACCCAUUAGCCAUGCUCCUUGAUCAUUGAAAUUGACAGACUGUGACUUACAUAACAGUUAGAGAAUUUUUUUUUACCAUUACAUAUUUCAAUGAAGUUACCUACCUUAAAAAUAGACACUUAAAAGUUAUAAUUUUCUACAUAAAAUUAUAAUCACAGCUUAUUUUUAUUCUUCUUCAAGAAAAAAUAUAUGUAACUUGACAUAACUUCAUUGUUUGUAUAUGUUCCUAUAUAAUCAACGGCUUGGGUCUGUAUACAAACAUUUUUUUUAAACAACACAUACAGAUGAUUUGAUGAAAAUAACACAAACAGAAAAUAAAUUUUACCAACCUGUCUGGUUUGCAGUUUAAAAAAAAAAAAAAAACACUACAACAUUUCCGUGUCAACUGUACAACAGCAACCUCCUGCACUCGCUCCGGGGAGACUGACGGGAGUGCAUUGCUCGCUGUAUAAAUAAAACACUUAUGGCGAAACCCCGUAGAAAGGCUGUACUACUUAUUUUUGACCUUGAACGACCCUGUUGCCCUACUUACAUUUCACAGUUACGCGCCACCGCUCAGACCUGUCUGAAAGCGCCGGCUUCCUUUUCCCGGUUAAUGGAAAGUUGAGCAAUAGUGUGAUGGCCUUCGGCAAAAUAUGAGAAGCAACCAACUGUACAAGGUGAUUUUUAUAAUAGUUACAUUUAUUAAAACAUCAAUAUUUUAUAAGUAUAUGUAUAAAUAUGCACGCAGUAUAAGUACAUGUGCAAAUGCAUGUAAAUUUGUAAACUAAACUCAUGAAUGUAUUAACAGAAACAGGCCUUUUUUUUUUUUUCCACAUUUAACUAAGUAGGAUUGAGCUAGCAUUUCUUUUUAUCAUAUACAAAUCUUAUUGUUGAUAAUCAAAUUAUUAAUCUUUGAGCUAGAUUGCAGGACAUAAUGGAAAUCUUUUUGCUAGCGAACAAUUGCAUAAAAAUAUCUUGAGCCGAAAAAGAUCCUAAAGCCUGUAUCACAUGGUGGAAGGUUUCAUACAGCUUCCAGCAAAACUGCUGGCCAAACCUUACAGUCCUGGAUGAAAUAUACCUUAUAUUUGUACUUUCCUUAAUUUUUUGAAAACAAUAUUUUCGCAUUCAAUAUUCAUACUAAUUUUAUUUUAGUUAUUUGAUCUUUAUUACAUCUUUAAAGGCUUUGACACUGUCGAAUUCUCUUUUACAACACCUUCCAUUAUGUCAUGUAAAAUAAAGUCGAAAAGGUUAUGUCACUAGGACAGCCAUGUUUGUUCAACGAGCAGGAUGACGAUAUUCCAUCAAAUAUUGUGCAUAUAGGACGGGUUAUAAAAUAUGUAAGAUGUUGGAUGUAAUCAGCUAAUCAAAAUGGUGUCUAUCGAAAAAGGAAAUGACAUCCAUUUCAAUCACAAUUAUUCUUUAAAAUGGUGAAGACUACAUGGCCUAUGAAAUGGUUAUAAAAGUGAAAUAACUACAAUAAUGUUAAAAUGAAUGUCAUAUGAGAAAAAUAUGUAUGUGUGAAAAGGAAAUUAUAUUUCUAAGACUUAUAAAAAAAACAUUUAUAGGUACUACAGCAUUAGUUCAAAAUUUUCAUUUUGUUGGCUUAUUGUCAAACAAUUAAAUCUUAAUUUUAAGCCAAAACAAACUGCCAUCGCCUGCUGUCACACGAAUGAGGCCCGGGGCGAUCUUAGUGGACCACUAGGCUCGUAGACCACUUGAGUGCUGAAUUCCCUAGCUGUGGCACUGCUAGACACUCCCUGCUUAUCCCAGUGUGCUGUUACUUAGUACUCUCUCAUGAAACUGGAUAAAUAAACGAAGUGGUUUUCACGCGUGACUUGUUUUUCUCCCUGUGCUAAUGAUUAUUCUUGUCAAUAUUAUGAUGGUUUUCUCCAUGUGCUUCUGAUUAUUCUUGUCAAUAUUUUGAUAGUUUUCUCCCUGUGCUAAUGAUUAUUCCCUUGGUUUCUCCAAGUGCUUCCAUAUAAUUAGUGAAUUUCUGCUACUAAAUCAGCACUUGCAAUGUUUUUUACCAUGUGUAAUUCAAAAAAUAAACAGCCACUACUCAGUCAAAUAAUAAGCUCUGAGACAUCUGAGAAACACUAACAGGAAUGACGAACUUCCUUUCCUUGGUAUCUAGCGAAGCCAUUCUUUUGCGAUCGUUGGUGAGCAUCCUGUAUCCCACAUAAAAGAACUAAAUAUUAUUUACCUGCAAGCAACACAUGGCGUCAUCUAUUGGCAAGAAUCGUGACUACUUACAACAGGUUAUUUUUCAUGAGAUAAAUUGACUCUCACCACUGAAUGGUUCUAUUGUAUUCAGUUAGAGCCAAGUAGUCUUGUAGUCGCAUUGCCUUAUGUCCUGGAUGCCUCGUAGUCCUGUAGCCUCGAAAACACAUAACCUUGUGUUCUGGAAGCUUCGUAGUCCUGCAGCCUCGCAGUAUCGUAACCUUGUAGACUCGUAGUUGCAUAGUCUCGUGUAACCUCAUGGCUUGUAGUCACGUAGUCAUGAUGCCUUGGAGCCUCGUAGACUUAUAGCUAUGUAACCAAGUAGCCCUAUAAUCUUAUAACAUAAUGCUACUGAAGCAGUUGGAGCCAAAGAGAAAAUUCCGCCGAAGACAUGUAGCAAUUGGAGCCUUGUAGACUUGUAGCUUCGUAGUCAAGUACACAUCUAUACAUGCAGUCCUGCAGUCUCGUAGCUUCAUAGCCUCCUAGUCUUGUAGUCAAAUAGUGCUACGCCUAAGACUAUUUGGAGUCAAAUACUUUUGACAUAAUUGAUUAUUCAAGCCAAAAUACUUUUGGAGUCGUAGACUGAUUAAGCCAAUGACUUUUGGAACUAAAAACUGUUGAUUUAUAGACUGUUGGAGAAAUUAUAUCCUAACUUAUCAUUGUCGAUCGCAUCGUACCGAUUUGAAUGUACGUGAGAAUGCACCUCCUUUUCGUUUAAUGCGCUUUCGUUUUGUAGAAUUUCCAUCCAAACGUGCUUCGUUUUAAAUCCUUGACCUGUGUGAAUGAAGCGUAGUCAAUGCGUGUAUUGCGCGUAAAUUGCGUGUAUUGUGCGUACAUUUCGUGUCAAUUGCGUGUUGGAGCGAAUGGAGCUUUGGUGCUCUUGGAGCACUUGAUGCUGAUGGGCAAUUGGAGCAAUGGAGCCAAAUGAAGACGGAUCUGAAGGCGUGAAUUUUAGCUCUUGGAGCCUAAUAUAUAUUUGUGGGAUCGAAUUCAUGAGACGAGAGCGUAUCACACCGCAUCGAAAUUUUUUGAAUAUAUGUGCUUUUUUAAAUGUUUUGACUUAAGUAUUAUAGUAAAUGGUUCAUGAUUUGACUAGCGUAUUAUUCCAACGGGUGCAUGUAUAUAAGCUUGUCCUAGACAAUGGGUCGCUCAGUUUGUUACUGUCGUCGAUGGUGUAAGGAUCACCUAGUUUGUUUCUUCUGGUGCAUAAGUCGCGUAAUUACCAGUUAUUGUGUACUCGAUGGCAUCUUUACCGUCUUUAACGGCGAACUCGAUGGACGUUGUACCAUUGUCUGCGGGAACCCUGACGUUAGCGAUGUCUAAGAUGGAGCAGAUCCCGUUGGCAAAUACGUCGUCAACACUGGAGGAGACUUCAGCAGUUGUGGUACCAGCAGCAGAAGAGAGCUUAAUGACUUCAGUACUGGCUGCACAGGAAACCUCGACGGACGUCGUUUCGCCGUCGAUGGAGACUUUAAUGUAUGGUGAUUCGUCAACAACUAACGAACAUCAACAAUACUCGGUGACAUGAGAAGAGAGAAUGUGCUAAGAACCUUUAUAGUAAAAUGUUUGGUUGUAAAAAGUGUCGCAAGCUAUUUACAAGAAAUGCUAAUUUGAAGCAACACUUGGAAACAUGCAAAGGUCCUGCUGAGCGGCAGAAAGUAAAGGUUUCGGUGCAACAGCGAAUGAUUGAUGUACAUAAGAGUAUACCUGGAAAUGGUACAAUUGCAGUAACAUCGACAUCUGGUUCGGGUUCGUCUUCAUCACCACGAUAUCCUUGAUGCUACUGCGAAAUGACGUUUGCAUUUGCUCACGAUGUACGGAGACAUUAGAGGAGUAAAUGUACGAAGAAUCCUUCUCGCAUGAAGUUUCGCUGUGAUGAGUGUCAUGAAUGGUUUACUAGAAUUUAUAAUUUGCGUCAUGCAAAAAACUGUAAAGAUGGAGUCCGUGUGGCUACUGUUGAACUACCUGCAGAAAUUUCUUGAGUGUACAGGCAAACAAACAGAUGAGCAGCAACCGAUUGGUAUGACGUCUGGACAUGAAACGAAACCUAAGACUGUGAUCGGUACUCUACAGGUGAAUGACAAUGGCUUCUACUUGGCACAGUCUGCAUUUCGUGGAACAUCGAAAGACUACUAUUAUCUAAAUACGUGUAGUGAUUCGAAAGACAUUUGUAAUUUUCUUGACGAUAUCAGACAGAACAUAAUCAGCUUACUGUGCCGUCGCCCGGGUUCUCGUGUUCGAGAUCCGGCGGUGUUCCUAGUGGGAAGGCUGUUUUCUUGCGGAGAAACGUGUCCGGGAGGGAGCCAGGCUAACUCGGUGGUUAACCACGAGGUGGGUCGGUGGGUACGAAUGCCCCUGCGUGGCCCACUAGGAACAGCGGCAGUGGUCGUGAUGUUAGGGGUCCCUAAUGCCUGCUGCACUACUGGCCCUACACAGCAUAGGACACUGAUCCCUAACUGGAUUGGGGAGGUUCACAAAUAAUGUACACGGUUUUGCACUGUCGUUUACACGUCGCACACGGAGUGUGCGGAGUGGAUGUUUAAUUAACGUUGGCAAUUACACUUGCAGUUACAGUCACACGAUUUCCCUACAUAAAGUACACUAUCAUUAUACACUGGGCGCUCUGAUGCGCCGUCACUAAAAUUACGCCCUCACGCCAGUCGAGGUUGAGGGGGAGAGUUUGAUUGGAGUCGGCCAAUCCCGUAAUUUGCGAACAGCGACGCGCGGGCCCACCUGUGUGGACCGCGGCUCUCUAUGAAAUUAAUUAAAGUCUUCAAUUAGAUGUGGCCAGUGCCUGUGCACUCGGCAGUUAACUGAAAGUAUGUUAUGGCGGGAGUCAGCCUGUGCCGUAUAUUGCACUGCCCCGCGUAAUGCAUUGUGCAAGGAGUGUUAUGUUUACGCGGCUGGGAUAGGCCCUACACCUUAAAAGGACCGGGCGCACACGGGGAGUUGAUUAAAAAAGGCUUUGGGUGCGUGACUAUAUUUACCAGAAUGAAUUCAGUGUCGACUAUGGUUGAUGUCUCCCCGUGGGACGCACGUCCGUCCCGGUCCGCGAGUCGCUCGGUACUGGCUUCUGGCCCUGGCGAGAGAGGAGGGGUGAGCAUCCUCUCGCGCCAAGGUUUCUAAAGUUCCGUUAUUCGUAAAAUAUUAUAUUAAUAAAAAGAAUUAACAAUUAACUUUGACGACAGUCGUCGUACCCUCCCAGAUACAGAGGCCGUACCUGGCCACCGACGCGGGCCUGAGGGGGCCUAUUUUCCCCCCCAGUGAACCCCAGUGUGUGCGACGGCCAGGGACGCACCCGCGUGCGCCCUAGCAUGCCAACGAGUGUUUUUUCUAUGUGACUUUAUCUUUUAUUUCAGUGUGUAUAUAUUUGUAAACGAUUAAGGGAUUUGA